CCUACGGGUGGCAGCAGUGAGGAAUAUUGGUCAAUGGACGAGAGUCUGAACCAGCCAAGUAGCGUGAAGGAUGACUGACCUAUGGGUUGUAAACUUCUUUUAUAUGGGAAUAAAAUGUUCCACGUGUGGGAUUUUGUAUGUACCAUAUGAAUAAGGAUCGGCUAACUCCGUGCCAGCAGCCGCGGUAAUACGGAGGAUCCGAGCGUUAUCCGGAUUUAUUGGGUUUAAAGGGAGCGUAGGUGGAUGGUUAAGUCAGUUGUGAAAGUUUGCGGCUCAACCGUAAAAUUGCAGUUGAAACUGGCAGUCUUGAGUACAGUAGAGGUGGGCGGAAUUCGUGGUGUAGCGGUGAAAUGCUUAGAUAUCACGAAGAACUCCGAUUGCGAAGGCAGUUCACUGGACUGCAACUGACACUGAGGCUCGAAAGUGUGGGUAUCAAACAGGAUUAGAUACCCCAGUAGUC
This 460-nucleotide ribosomal RNA is filed under the name uncultured bacterium. RNAcentral's name for it is "partial 16S ribosomal RNA". It matches the Rfam family "Bacterial small subunit ribosomal RNA", at positions 338 to 795 of the family's 1533-position model. The record is from RNAcentral.